Molecule: non-coding RNA, 4967 nt
Organism: Lolium perenne
Lineage: Eukaryota; Viridiplantae; Streptophyta; Magnoliopsida; Poales; Poaceae
Source: RefSeq, a predicted model, not a curated record
CUUCGUCGCCUCGCGCGAUGGCCCCACCCCUAACCAAACCCGUGACUACCCCGCCCCUCCCGCACCCCAACCAUCUACUCCCUCCAGCAUCCAGCCGCUUCCUUACCGCACCAUCCAGCCAUCUCCCCUGCAUCCGGCGCCACACAGCCGCCGGAUCCGGUUGUUGUCGCAUCCUCAAUGGCCGUCACCGCCUCCAUAGGGCGGAUCCGGCAUCCAGCGCACGAAUCCGGCUGACAUCGCCUCUCCCUCGACUGUCCAUGUCCUCCACCGCACAUCUCGGGGUUACGGAGGCCUGACGUCGUGCCCGGAUCGCGGGCAGGAGGAGCAGCACGAAGGCGCAGCUCUGGGCAUUGAACUCCUUGGGGUCUGGGCAUGGAUCUCGGCAUAGGUGCCCGAGAUCGUGCGGAUGCCUGGCCGCCACCCUCACGCGUGGCCUGGACCACCGAGUGCGGUGACGACGUGGUGGAAGAGCUGUUUGGCCUCUUGGUGAUGGUGGACAGCCACGGUGGGCGCCGCUUAGUCAGCCCGUGCGGGCGGUGGUGGGGAGAAGGUGACCAGGCCGGCAAGGCCGGUGUCUGAAGUCGAUUCCUGCAGGGCCGCUUCCCAAGUCACUAUGUUAAGGAGGUGCGCCGCUGCGCGCCACUUGCUCGACUACCCCAGAUGCCCUAGAGGCGAUUCCGGUGAACAAGAUGACGGCCAGAAGCAACCUCGUAUGCUCUUCAGCCUAUCGCCUUUCCUUUUUUAUUUCCUCUUUGUGUGAGUCCUGGGCUUGGAUUCCCUAUUUGUACAGCCCUAGGUUUGAGAGGCAAAAUGGACCCUACUGCAAUUGUUGACAUCUGGGUUUUGUAUCUUCUCGAAGUCUACUUUCAUGUAUGGAGUUAAUCCAUGUCUUGUUUCAGUUACACUAUUUCUGUGAAAAUUUCGAGAGAACCAGAUGAGAUGAGAAAGGGUGGAGCUGAUUGCCUCACGAACUCUAGGGAGGGAUCUGUAUGCUCUGUACGUAGGGCCAUUGACCCCUGCCUCCGUUGAUGGAUGGCAGCCUCCUUUCUGCUGGAAAGGCAGAAGCUAAGAUCCACUCCAGUUCACACCUAAUAACACAGAGAAAUAAUUUUUCAUUUUGGCAUUGAAUUUGGAUAUAUCAAAGCUUGUGAUCAGGGAAAAAGGUAAAUGUGUUCCAUUCUAUGAAGUGAGCGGCCGAAUCUAAAUACAUAUUUAAUUUUGAGAUAUCUCGAAUUGAUCUAUCCAGUUAGUCACGGAUUGAUUUGAUUGUACAUCCUCCGUCCCACGAAGCUUGCCUUAACUUUGUCAAAAUUUGGACAUAUCUAGGCACUAUUUAGCAUUCAGAUACGUCCAAAUUUUAGUAAAGUGAGGACGAACUUCAUGGGACUGAGGGAGUAAUUCUAAUAUCACAGUGUUAUACCUUAUCGCUAGAGGUUCAACUGAAACCACAUGCCCAAAUUUAAGCCAAUUCCCUAUGUUAGUACCGUAGUGGCUUUCGGGCAAUACAACGAAUAUAUGGCGUGUAGUGUUGGUAUGCUGCUGGAAGUGUAUUGUAGGGUCUUGAUUUCUCUCGGUCAUUUGAGGGAUGUUGAUGGGAAGCGGUGUAAGCACUAUACAUGCAAGAAGUUGAAUCAUUAAGUUGCCUCUGUGACCCUGUUCUAUGUGUGUUUAAUCAUUGUACUUCGUUCAGUUACUGUCUUGAUAUGGUACUACUAAAAUCCCCGCUGAUCGAAUAUUAGCUAAGGCCCUAGCAUAUUGUUCUACUAACCGUUCAUUUUGUGCAUUGUAAUUCUGUACUGCACUUUCUAACCAAAAUGAGAUCCAAAGAUUUGCUGGAGUUGCAGGUUCAUUUCACCUACCAAUUUUCAAUCAGAUUGUCAAAAGAGAUCAACACACAAUCACAUUUCCAGACAGGUUAAUCUUUUGCCUUUUGAACAUAUACAUUCCAUUCUUUUGACAAUAAUUGAAGGAGACUUCGUCUCUAUGUGAAAAAAACACACAUGUAACGAAGCAUAAGGUUAGAGAAUUAGUACUCCCUGCUGCAUGAAUUACUUGACGCACAACACAGGCAAAGCGAAGCUCAUAACCUCAUGGUAUGCGACCAUUAAAGGGGGCCAGAGGGUGAGAAAGCUUUUAUGUCAUGGAUUGCGCUCAAAGUGUUCGAAGUUAAUUUAGAAAGCAUCAACUCGAUAAUAUGAAGAAUUGGGGAAGUAAAGAAAAGUGGAGAAAAUAUUAAAAUGGAAAGGGCCAGAACAUGUAUAUAUUGCAGUUAGUUUCAUUUUUUAAUCCUAUAACUUAUACAUGUGACGGGAAGGUGAUUACACUUUGAACUGUGACUUCCUUUUAGAUAUGAUCUAUGAAACACAUACAUAUCUUAAGGAAACAUACAAAGUCGAGUUUUAUCUAGGAGAUGGACCUCUUUCACCUCCCCAUUUAUUAUUCCUGAAACAUGACAUAUUUCACGGGUUUCAAAACAUGUUUUGUCCCAGUAAGUUUCUUGCUCUCUUAUUUCACGACUUUUGUAUGGUUUUAUUUUUCCAUCCAUUAAGAUUUGUUUUAGCUAGCUUGGUUUAGAGCUACAUCAUUUCGUCUAUUGAUUUUCUUGACAUAUUAUUUGCAGCUAAAAGUAUACAGUGUACUUAUGUUGGCAUUCUUUGACUGCAGAAGAACAUUGAACCAUGUAUUAGUAAGCGUAAUAAUAAUCAAGGCAAUGGUCCACUGGGCAUAUUAAUACGUGUAUCCUGCAUUAUCAGGUAUACAUCAUUAAUACGUUAGAAAUACUACUGCAUUAUCAGGUACUAUGUGUACCCUGCAUGUCACUCUUAUCAAGCACAUUAAUACAUUGCCUAAAUACUCAUAUUAUGCGUCAUCUUUUUCUCCAAUGCACAGAACCAGAAUUGUGGGUCUUGUAGUUCUACUUCUUAUUGUUGCCACUGUAAUCUUGAUCUUAUGCUUGAUAAUUGCCAUCCUGGGAAGAGCUUUUACUUGAUUAGUAUGUCUUUCUAGCACCAAAAAUAGCCCUGUUCGAUGCAAUUGGGGAAGGCAAAGAAAGUCCAUUUCUUCAUUGAUUUGUGGUACAUUUUUUCUUUCAAUUAUACAUGAUAUUACUUUGUGUUUAUUCCAUUCUUGCUUGGUAGAACAUUUUCGACAUCGCAGUAUCCGAUAGAUGUCUUACAUAUGAUUCACCCAUAAUUCGUGGGUUUGCAUUAUUCUUGUUCUCCAUGUAUUCGCUUUCUGCUGAAGUAGUUGCUGACUACCUGUCUAUAACGGAGCAAGAGAAUGCCUUCACCAGAUUUUUUGGGAACCACUUCAGCAGGAUAAGCAUGAGGACAUUACUCAUAGACUAGCGCAUGAAAGUGAUGGACUUCUUGUUCCUGAAAGCUUACAACUCAGUCAAUUACACUGAUCUGAUCUGUGCCAGUAUCGCAAAGAGAUCAAUUGACUCAAGUGUAGCUACUUGGUGUUGCCUGCUUGUUUUUAGUUGCAUAAGGUCCGUUGAGUUUAUUUUUAUCUCUUACUUAUUGAAGUUCCUUUUUUCUUGGUUCUGAUCUGAUAUGUUGUAAAAUGUUCAAACUUCAGUAAAUAUAUGAGGAUAUACAGUGGCGGAGCCACACUUAGGCUGGGUAGUCAAAUGACUACACAACUUUUCAACAACAUAAGAUGAAAGUGUGUAAAAAAAUAUUAAAAAUUUAUAUAAAUACAUGUAUUUAGCUACACAACAUUAAACUGACAACACAAGGUUGUUGUCCUGGCUUCGCCACUGAGGAUAUAUGUCCACUCCAAGUAAAUGAGCUCUGCUACAUCACUAAGAAUAACUCUAAAGAUGAGGUCCAUGGUUCAAUGCAGAUUGAAUUUCCUUUCAUGUUUGUUUCAUAUUCUUGUGUUCUAACAUAGAUAAACAUGUUUUGAAGAUGGAAGGUUCUAUCGUGAGUUGUUUUAGAUAUGGCUGUCCCUAUUGUGAAAUGUUUAUAUUCUUUGUUAAGUUCUGGUCUCUGGCUACUGAAAAAGCUCAACGGGGCGGAAACGCAUCCAUCCGCUUAUUUUCACUAACAAUCAAGACCCACAUAUUACCUUUUUUAUAGGCUUUGCAACGUAUGAUGUGGAGAAGUCAAUCCAACCCGUUGCCUGUUACUCUGUUUUCUUUCUUCAGCCGAAGACAUUAGAUAACCUCAAGAAUAUUAUAUCUUUCAUCAACGAUUUUAUUUUCCAUUUUGAUUUUAGUAUUCACAUCUGUUGUAUAUGUCAAUCGGGUACUGGCUUGGAUGAUUUUGUUAGCUCGGGAAUAGAUUCGUUUUCCUGGUCAUGUCAGCGUCUAGCACUAUUUACUUGAGUUAGUUUUUUCUCAACCAGAAAAACUUCAGUGUUGAUCUACAUUAGAAUUGCUGCACAUGUAGUUUUAUGACAUCUAAGCCAUUUGGAUUUUAUUUAUCAGACUAGCUGCCAAAUUUUUGACGUAACAACGGGCACAUAUCUAAUUGAAUAUAUGGCUCAUGAGGGCACUUCGGUACUGGAUUGUGCUUGCUGUUAUACAGAAGGAAGUGGAAACACGGUUGAUGAAUAAUCAAAGUGUUCUAUCUAUUUUUCAUUUCAUUCAUUACGAAUGGUUAUCUCCUAGAUCUUGGAUAUUAAGCCGUCUCGGAUCGCGGGCAUGUCACAAGUGGUGUGGACGACACAUAUGAAGAAACCACCAACGUUGAGUGGCUGAGUGUGGAGGCAGCAUCUCGCUAGGUACUGGUGUCAAGGGGCCAUAGAGAGGAGGCUUCGUCUGGUAACGUGUGAAAUAUGAUUAUAUGUUUCGGGUGAUGCAUGCCGAGAAAUGCCCUGGGUGAUGGCAAAUUGGCUUGGAAUUCCUGAGCUUGGAUCGAUCGUUGUUUGAGUAGUGCCCAAAAGAAAGCACAAAAUUGUAUGGAACCUCAUGGAAAGCGAAAAUUUAUUAACUUAUACAUAUAAUUAUCAUUUUUUUUUCU